GUAACAAGGUCUCCGUUGGUGAACCAGCGGAGGGAUCAUUACCGAGUUAUACAACUCCCAAACCCACUGUGAACCUUACCUCAGUUGCCUCGGCGGGAACGCCCCGGCCGCCUGCCCCCGCGCCGGCGCCGGACCCAGGCGCCCGCCGCAGGGACCCCAAACUCUCUUGCAUUACGCCCAGCGGGCGGAAUUUCUUCUCUGAGUUGCACAAGCAAAAACAAAUGAAUCAAAACUUUCAACAACGGAUCUCUUGGUUCUGGCAUCGAUGAAGAACGCAGCGAAAUGCGAUAAGUAAUGUGAAUUGCAGAAUUCAGUGAAUCAUCGAAUCUUUGAACGCACAUUGCGCCCGCCAGCAUUCUGGCGGGCAUGCCUGUUCGAGCGUCAUUUCAACCCUCGAGCCCCCCCGGGGGCCUCGGUGUUGGGGGACGGCACACCAGCCGCCCCCGAAAUGCAGUGGCGACCCCGCCGCAGCCUCCCCUGCGUAGUAGCACACACCUCGCACCGGAGCGCGGAGGCGGUCACGCCGUAAAACGCCCAACUUUCUUAGAGUUGACCUCGGAUCAGGUAGGAAUACCCGCUGAACUUAAGCAUAUCA
RNAcentral lists this unclassified non-coding RNA (595 nucleotides) under Purpureocillium lilacinum. RNAcentral's name for it is "sequence contains 18S rRNA gene, ITS1, 5.8S rRNA gene, ITS2, 28S rRNA gene". The stretch from base 231 to 384 matches the Rfam family "5.8S ribosomal RNA". The record is from RNAcentral. Lineage: Eukaryota; Fungi; Ascomycota; Sordariomycetes; Hypocreales; Ophiocordycipitaceae.